CAGUAGCCGCGGUAACACGUAGGGUGCGAGCGUUAAUCGGAAUUACUGGGCGUAAAGCGAGCGCAGACGGUUAUUUAAGCAGGAUGUGAAAUCCCCGGGCUUAACCUGGGAACUGCGUUCUGAACUGGAUAGCUAGAGUGUGUCAGAGGGGGGUAGAAUUCCACGUGUAGCAGUGAAAUGCGUAGAGAUGUGGAGGAAUACCGAUGGCGAAGGCAGCCCCCUGGGAUAACACUGACGUUCAUGCUCGAAAGCGUGGGUAGCAAACAGGAUUAGAUACCCCAGUAGUCCCUGUCUCUUAUAC
RNAcentral lists this ribosomal RNA (301 nucleotides) under uncultured bacterium. RNAcentral's name for it is "partial 16S ribosomal RNA". It matches the Rfam family "Bacterial small subunit ribosomal RNA", at positions 509 to 807 of the family's 1533-position model. The record is from RNAcentral.